This 361-nucleotide long non-coding RNA is filed under the name Mytilus galloprovincialis (Mediterranean mussel). The record is from RNAcentral. Lineage: Eukaryota; Metazoa; Mollusca; Bivalvia; Mytilida; Mytilidae.
CUUUCUUUCCUUCUUUGCUAGAACUUGGUGGGUUUUUUAUAGGUUCACUUAUUAUAUUUUAUCAAUUUUGAGAACAUUUGUUUGCCAUUUUAUAGAUUAUAUUCAUAUUAAAAAUGUACUGGUACUUAGAAUGAUAAAGUACUAAGGUUAAGGGCUGUUCCAGAAAAAACUAUGUCCCCAGGGACGGCACUUUUUUUACCCCUCACCAUCCAUAGAAAUAAAAAUAAACUAAAUCAACACCCCCUUUGGUUUUUUUAUUAUUUCAAAUACAUCCACCCACAUUAACUUUUUAAAAAUUGCCUUUCCUGGGAUGGAAAUAGUAUUUUCUGGAAUAGCCCUAAGAACAGGUUUAAGAAUUAAU